GAUGAACGCUGGCGGCGUGCUUAACACAUGCAAGUCGAACGAAGCACUUUAUUUGAUUUCCUUCGGGACUGAUUAUUUUGUGACUGAGUGGCGGACGGGUGAGUAACGCGUGGGUAACCUGCCUUGUACAGGGGGAUAACAGUUGGAAACGGCUGCUAAUACCGCAUAAGCGCACAGCAUCGCAUGAUGCAGUGUGAAAAACUCCGGUGGUAUAAGAUGGACCCGCGUUGGAUUAGCUAGUUGGUGAGGUAACGGCCCACCAAGGCGACGAUCCAUAGCCGACCUGAGAGGGUGACCGGCCACAUUGGGACUGAGACACGGCCCAAACUCCUACGGUAGGCAGCAGUGGGGAAUAUUGCACAAUGGGCGAAAGCCUGAUGCAGCGACGCCGCGUGAGCGAAGAAGUAUUUCGGUAUGUAAAGCUCUAUCAGCAGGGAAGAUAAUGACGGUACCUGACUAAGAAGCACCGGCUAAAUACGUG
This 481-nucleotide ribosomal RNA is filed under the name uncultured bacterium. RNAcentral's name for it is "partial 16S ribosomal RNA". It matches the Rfam family "Bacterial small subunit ribosomal RNA", at positions 28 to 507 of the family's 1533-position model. The record is from RNAcentral.